GCCUAAAGCGUCCGUAGCCGGCUCUGUAAGUUUUCGGUUAAAUCCAUAUGCUCAACAUAUGGGCCGCCGGGAAUACUGCAUAGCUAGGGAGUGGGAGAGGUAGACGGUACUCCGUAGGAAGGGGUAAAAUCCUUUGAUCUAUGGAUGACCACCUGUGGCGAAGGCGGUCUACCAGAACACGUUCGACGGUGAGGGAUGAAAGCUGGGGGAGCAAACCGGAUUAGAUACCCGGGUAGUCCCAGCUGUAAACUAUGCAAACUCAGUGAUGCAUUGGCUUGUGGCCAGUGCAGUGCCGCAGAGAAGUCGUUAAGUUUGCCGCCUGGGAAGUACGUACGCAAGUAUGAAACUUAAAGGAAUUGGCGGGGGAGCACCACAAGGGGUGAAGCCUGCGGUUCAAUUGGAGUCAACGCCAGAAAUCUUACCCGGAGAGACAGCAGGAUGAAGGCCAAGCUGAAGACUUUACCAGACAAGCUGAGAAGUGGUGCAUGGCCGUCGCCAGCUCGUGCCGUGAGGUGUCCUGUUAAGUCAGGUAACGAGCGAGAUCCUUGCCUCUAGUUGCCACCAUUACUCUCAGGAGUAGUGGGGCGAAUUAGCGGGACUGCCGUAGUUAAUACGGAGGAAGGAGAGGGCCACGGCAGGUCAGUAUGCCCCGAA
Molecule: ribosomal RNA, 654 nt
Filed under: uncultured archaeon
Lineage: Archaea
Description: bacterial SSU rRNA
Rfam family: Archaeal small subunit ribosomal RNA
Source: RNAcentral